This 1124-nucleotide long non-coding RNA is filed under the name Equus caballus (horse). Its description in RNAcentral is "lncRNA (ENSECAG00000058033.1)". Lineage: Eukaryota; Metazoa; Chordata; Mammalia; Perissodactyla; Equidae. The record is from RNAcentral.
AAAAAUUCUCUAGGAAUAAAAUUACUCUGAGAAAAAAGUAUUCCUCUAAUUAUCACAGAUGGUGUGGUAUAUUUGCUCAGUCUCAUGGCGGGUACAUUCUGUUUUUAUCCUGGAGGAAAUGCAGAUACAGGAUAAUGAUGGAGCUGAGCAAGAUUCCUGAGAUUCCUGGUUUCAGGGAAUGCGUGCUUUGCUCCAGUUCUAUUUUCAGCUGCUUUCUGCCACUGUAGCCAAUAGCCAGAGACGCACAGAGGAUGAAAGGCCAAGGAGAAUGUUUGGUUUGAGAAGAAUUGCAGCAGACUGCAAAAAAUUUUGUUCUUUUGAUUCAUAAAUGGGGUGUUUUGAAGUUAGCACUGCAAAUGUGUUCAAACAGUAUGCAAAUUAGGACCUCGAUGAUUGAAUAGCUGAAAACAAUCUGGUGGCACCAUUCUGCCUGGGAUUUAGCUUAGAUUACAGAACACACUAAUGGGUAGAGGACUAGACUGGACUGCAUCAGGGCGGGCCUUGGGGAAUGCGGAGCUGUGAAGGAACACCAGGAAUUUGAGAGAAUUCUCCAGCAAUUUGAAUCCCUACAGCUUCAAAGAUCACUAACAACUUUCUACUAACUAGAUUUGCGGGCAAGUUGUUACUUCUGAGACUUGAAACCGUCUACAAUGUAUAACUUGUCCCACAUGAAUAUGACUGUGCUGUGAAAGACGACACGAGUGGAGCCCCAUUAAAACAGAGCCGGAGCAGCCAUUUCAGAGGAAUUGCCUUGCACGUCUUGUUUUAUCUUUCAAACUAGACUAAACUGCCAACAUUCCAAGAAGUCAGUAAGGACAAGAAUAUCCUGUUUGUAAGGACUGGUGAAGUUGGACUUUGCUGGUGACCGAAUCGCUAACCAAUCAAUAAAGUGCACGUCUAGCCUUGUGCCUGAUGACUGAAUCUCAAGCCCAUCUAUGAUGUACAGACCCAGCCUCACCUCAUCGAGCACCGAUGAACUCUUCUUCAACACAAAGUAUCUCAUCUUCCUCCCUUUUUCCUAUAAAAACCCUGAGCCCCUCUCCUGUAAUGGGGACACUAUUUGGUUUUCAACCUGAAUCUGUGCUCCCCACUUGCAGUCUCUGAUCCCAAAUAAAUGCUUUGCC